Molecule: long non-coding RNA, 8696 nt
Organism: Olea europaea var. sylvestris
Lineage: Eukaryota; Viridiplantae; Streptophyta; Magnoliopsida; Lamiales; Oleaceae
Exons: 3
Source: RefSeq, a predicted model, not a curated record
CUGACUUGUGAGAACGGACGAUUACGAAGGCACGGUGACUUUGAAUUUUUCUCUCAGCCUCUCAUUGUCUCACUCUCAUCUUUGCGAGCCCUCGAUAUGGUGCCGCCUGCGUCGGCUUUCUUCCAUCGACACCAUUAGUGGAAGCCAAAUCCCAAUUCAUCAAAUCACGAUUACUUCAGUCUCAAAUUAUACCUUAAUAUCCUCUCUCGUCCCUAUUAGUUGCCACUGCUAAAGAGGCUCACAAGUUGUGAAGAUAACAAAUUCAUUUCUUUCCCAACUUAAAUGCCCCAUGGCAGGCACAUUCUACAGAAGUCUAGCACUUGGUGAACCACCAUUCAUGAAGCCUUUGUUUUUUAUUGAACCAUAAAGCAGACAGAGUUAGAAGCGUGGAAUAAGAUGCUCUGUCUUAUAUUUAAGGGGGUGAUUACGCCCAAAGAAUAAUGCGAAGUUGCAGUAUAGCUUUGGGGUGUCAUAUCUACAGAGAGAUGGAAAAUAAUCCAAAAAAUCAAAAGUUGGGGUUUUGUUGUGAUUUUAUGUGAAUGUAAUGUGUCAAUUGAAAUAGAAUUCAAAUAAUAAUGUAUAAGUUAAGGAAAUUUAAACCAAUGUGUGAAGCAGUGAAGCGCUGAAAUUCCCUCGAUUAGAUUGGAUCAAUCAACGUCAAUUUUGCAUGAAGAUACUCAAUUAAAGGUUUUUUUUAUCCUAACACUUUAAUUGGAAGAUUUACACAUUCAAAGCCCUCUUUAAUUCCAAAUCUAAAUUUCUUGUACAACAUAAUUCCACAAUUGUUUAUUAAAAUUAGAUCAAAAAUCGGUCAUAUACUUCAAGCAAAUGAUAGUAAAAGAUCACACUAAUAAACGGUUUGAAAUUGAAAAUCAAUAAAUAUUUCGAUCAUUUGAUAAAAAAAACUUGAUUGAAAUCAUGAAAAUCUAAUAUGAAUUAACCCAAUCUCAAACAUGCCCAACAAGUAUAAGAAAUCUAAUUUCAGAAUUUUUAACAAUGAAAAAACAAAUUACAUGAAAGAAAGAACGUUGAAAAAAUCAAAUCUAACCGGAUUCUUUCAUAGCUUCACCAAUUAAUUUAGUUUUCCGUAGAUUUCUUGAGCCAAACUUGAGAGAAAAUUGAUAGGAGAUGGAACAAACGUGUUCUGGUCGAGAUUAAGGGUUUAAAAGUCGUGUGAAAACUUUUUACCGUAAGUCUUGGAGUCAAUUUAGGAAAAUGAAAUUUUUCAUCUCGAGAAGCACCUAUGCGACCGCAUAGUUAUAAGCCAUGCGGUCGCAUAGUACAUUACGGCCAUGACUUCCUUGGAAUGGUGGAUGCGACCGCAAGGAAUUUACUCUAUGCAACCACAUUGUUUCCCAUUUUCUCAAGUCGGAUAACUUUCAGUAUUUUAGUCAUAACUUUCUCUCUCGAUAUCCGAUUGAGGUGAUUCAAAUUGCGUUAGAAAUUUAACUCAAAGGAAUACAAUUUUGAUUCAGUUAUCAUCUUCUCAUUUGAUUGUUUUCCAUGUCAAAAACAGGUCCCAAUAUGAGGCUGAAAACGGUACGUAACUUUUUUCAAUUGGGAAUUGAUGUACGAUCAAACAUUGACGUUAUUUCAUCCUUUUGACUUCUUUUCUCAUCCACUUGACCUCUAAUACUUUCGAAUAUUCAUCAUAAGGUUAGACACAAGUUUGGAGUAUUUGUAUUUUGGUCCCUGAACUUUCACUUACUUCCAUUUUGGUUCAUUUUCGCUCUUUUCUACCAAGUUUCACAUUUUCUACCAAAAUGCAACUUGAAUCAUAACAUAAGUAUAAUGAGUUUAUUUUGACAUCAAAUAAUCAUACGAAUACAACAAUUAAGAGGGAAAAAUGUCAUAUUUUACACUGUUAUUACACCCCCAACUUGCUUAUUACUAGUCCCUAGCAAUUCAAUGUAAAACAAUCAAAUGAAGUAUUAGACCGUAAUAUAAAUGAAAUUAUUAAGUUCCAACUUAACUGGAAUUCAUGCUCUUUUCAAACUCAACACCACAAGAACUUAAUGAUGCCAUGAUCAUCAAGAUAUCAAAAACACUUGCCAAAUGUGUGAGUGUGUGUCAAGCGAUGGCCAUCUUGCUGCCAACCCUAACACAUGCAACAUCAAGUAUGUCUCAAGCUGAAUGUUCAAUCCCACAACUCAUGGGUAUCAAAGUGUUUAGUAUGGCUUUCUCUCUAUGGAGCUGAGAAAGGGAUACACUCAAAAUUUGGAGGCUUAAAUGUUUAUGAAUGAGCAACAAGCAAACAUUGAUCUUAUGACAGACAUGCUGUCAAAUGAAAAUUCAUCACUUUCUUACCACAAUCAUACUUAGGAUCAAAACAGUCAAAGUAAAAGGUUUGUAAUAUGGUGCAAGUUGGAUUAUAUGAAAAGAGGGAUAUAAAGAUCCAGACACUUCGAAGUACAUAGCUAAGUAUAUUAUCACACAUUUCAACAGUUCACCCUUUUUAAUGAAUGCAUUCUUCCAUAUUUCAAUUCCCAAAAUCAAUAAGUAUUUUCUUCUAUACCCCACUUUUUUUCUUUUUUUUUUAUCCGUCUUGCUUGAGUACAUACUAACUCUUGUCAUUUUCUUGUUUCUAUUUUUCACAAAUAAACAUUUAAUACCUACUACACACUUGGAAGUAAAAAUGUGAAAAAAUACAUGUAUAGGCUACUUUCCAGUAUAGAGAAGUAUGUAUAACAUGAGUGUAUGAAGAAAAGACUAUAUAAGUGUUUAUGGCUCAACAUGGCUUCUAGAGGGUUGUAAUUAUUGAAAAAGAAGGUGUGAAAAGCUUAUAUAUUAAUCCUAAAUUGACCUUUAUCAUUUCCCAAUUAAUCCACCAUCUUACCAUGAACCAAUUGUUCUCAAAAUAGUUUCCAAUUCACAAAACUAAUGAAUGCUUAUUGCUUUUUUAGUUUAAGGUGGCUCUCGAUCCUCACUAAUUUUCACAAGAAAACUUUAGCAAGAAACUCCUCUAGUUAAAUGUGUUAAACUACUAUCUUAGUACAAGGUUUAUGUGCACAAAAUGAUUCAGCAAAUGUCUCAACAUCUAGACGCAUAUGAACAAUAUUAACUCCUAGUGGCAUAUUUUGUCAUUCAAGAACAUAAACAUGUAGCUAAUUAGGGACUCAAAAAAAUUUAAACCAAAAUUCCAUGUAAAUCAUUCAAUUCAUAACAAAAUUUAAGUUAAACUCUUCCCCCAACUAAACAUUGCAUUGUUCUCAACGCAAAAACAUGUCUGUCAUAUAAAGGUAAGGAAAGAUAUCACCUAAGUGCCUAAGUGAAUCACAUGAGCUAAAACAUAAACUAAAAAAAUGCAAAACACACUAAAAAAAUUUUGAAACUAAUAUACAGAAACACAAAGUGAAAAACGUACUUAAAGGGUGUUAUGGGUGGUAAACCGGGUCUGCAAGAGAAAUUUCUUCCAAUGCAGGGACCUGUUGUGCAUACAGUAUUUUGAGUCUCUGUGCAUUCACUUUGAAUACCCUACAAUCAUUAGGGUCCUCAAUUUCAAACGUCCUAUUUUCAAAAGCUCGUGUUACUAUAAAGGAGCCAGUCUACCUAGAGCGGAGUUUUCUCGGGUAUUUGUGAAGUCUAGAAUCAUACAAAUACACUUUCUGGUUUAGUUGAAAAGUUUUUCUCACAAUGUUUUUAUCGUGAAAUGCUCUCAUUUUUUACUUGUAGAUUCUAGAACUUUCAUAGGCAUCAUUUCUUAACUUCUCUAACUCACUCAAUUGAAAUUUUCUAUGUUUACCUCCAUCUUCUAGAUCAAAGUUGAAGUGUUUAAUGGCCCAAAAGGCUCGAUACUCAAGUUCGAUAGGCGAAUGGCAAGACUUUCUAAAGAUUAGUCUAUAAGGUGACACGUCUAGGAAAGUCUUAAAAGUUGUACGAUAAGCCCAAAGUAUAUCAUUCAAUCUCAACGAUCAAUCCUUAUGAUUAGGGUUCAACGUUUUUUUCAAAUUUUGUUUAAUUUUCCUAUUAGCCAAUUAUAUUUCUCCACUAGUUUGUGGUUGAUAAGAAGUGGAAAUUUUGUGAAUCAUCCCAUAUUUUUUUCAUUAGUGCCUCGAAUGAACAGUUGCAAAAGUGUGGGCCUCUAUCAUUAAUGAUAACACGUGGUUUACCAAAUCGAGACAUAAUAUUUUCUUUAAGGAGUUUAACAAUCGUUUUAUUCUCAAUGGCUCUACAAGCAACCGUCUCUAUCCACUUAGACAAGUAGUCUAUAGCCACAAUGAUGUAUAAAUAGCCAAAAGAGAGUGGAGAAGAUCCCAUAAAGUCAAUGCCCCAACAAUAAAAAACUUUAACUACCAAAAUUAGAUCUAAAGGCAUCAUAUUACAAUGGAAAAUAGCACCUAGUUUUGGACACCUCUCAUAAGAUUUACAAUAGGCAUCAGUGUUUUUAAACAAGGUGGACCAAUAAAAACCACAUUGCAAAAUUUUUGCAGCACUCUUUUUCAUAGAAAAGUGGCCCCCACAAGCUUGGAUAUGGCAAAAAUCUAGUACACUGAUUAUCUCCUCAUCAAGAAUACAUCGUCUCAAUAUUUGAUCGGGCCAAUACUUAAAUAAACAAGGGUCAUCCUAAUAAAAGUUAUGUACCUCAACCAAGAAUUUUCUCUCAUCCUGUACACUCCACUCCUUUGGGAUUUCACCUGCAGCCAAGUAAUUCACAAUAUUAGCAAACCAUGGUAGAGAAGAGAUAGUAAAUAAAUUUUCAUUAGAAAAUUCAUCUCUAAUUGGCAAGGUGUUUGAUUUGUCUUCAAAGGUCAGUCUUGACAGAUGGUUUGCUACAACAUUUUUCACUCUCUUCUUAUCUUUGAUAAUGAUGUCAAAUUUCUACAAAAGCAAGAUCCAACUUAUUAGUCUUGCCUUAGCAUCCUUCUUUUCAAGAAUGUGUUUAAGGACUGCAUGAUUUGUGAAAAUUGUAAUAGGAGAGCCAAUUAAAUAGGAUCAAAACUUAUCAAGCGCAAAUAUUACCGCUAGUAAUUUUUUUCAGUAGUGGAAUAAUUUAUUUGAGCACUAUUUAGAGUUCUACUAGCAUAGUAAAUCACAAAAGGCUUACCUUCUUUUCAUUGCCCUAGAACAGCAUCAUAAAUGAUUUCAAAUGGUAAUGUCCAAUUAGUUGUUUGUAUUAUGGGUGCAGAGUUGAGUUUACCAUUCAACAAUUCAAAUGCAUUUGACAUUUAGGUAUCCAUUCAAAAGUCACAUCUUUGUUUAGCAAGUUGCAUAGGGGUCUAUAUACGGAUGAGAAAUUUUGUAUAAACCUCUUAUAAAAACCUACAUGACCAAGAAAUGAUCUAGUGUUCUUUACUGUCUUAGGUGUAAGUAAUUUAGAGAUCAAUUCAAUUUUUGACUUGUCUACUUCUAUUCCUUUUGAAGAAAUAACAUGUCCUAAGACAAUACUGGAAGAGACCAUGAAAUGAUAUUUUUUUCAAUUCAAAACUAAGUCUUUUUCUUCACAUCUAGCCAAUACUUUUUUCAAAUUUAACAAGCAUGUAUCAAAUGAGGUCCCAAAAACAAUCAAGUCAUCCAUAAAAACUUCCAUGCAAUCCUCUGCCAUAUCACUAAAUAUACUCAUCAUGUAUCUUUGAAAUGUGGUAGGGACAUUGCAAAGUCCAAAUGACAUUCUACAAAAUGCAUAGGAACCAAAAGGACACAUGAAUGUGGUUUUUUCCUGAUCUUCUAAACCAAUCUCAAUUUGAUAGUAUCCUGAAUGGCCAUCUAGAAAACAGUAAAAGGGAUGACCAGCCAUAUGUUCAAGUAUUUGGUCCAAAAAGGGAAGGGAAAAAUAGUCCUUGUGAGUGGCAGCAUUUAACUUCUUAUGAUCAAUGCACACGCACCAACCAGUUACCGUUUUUUGUAGGGACCAAUUCACCUAUUUCAUUUUUUACUACAGUGACACCUGACUUCUUGGGGCUACCUAUGUAGGGCUAACUCAUUUACUAUCUGCAAUUAGGUAAAUGAUUCCUGCAUCUAGCAAUUUAAGCACCUCAUUCUUUACCACUUUUUUCAUUGUGGGGUUUAGCCUACAUUGUGUGUCUCUCCUAGAAUUAGUCCCUUCCUCUAGAUAAAUCCUAUGUGAACAAAUUAAAGGACUAAUACCUUUGAUGUUGGCUAUGGUCUACCCUAAUGUAGAUUUGUGUUCAUUCAUAAUGCUUAAAAGUUGUUUACAUUGUAAUGCAUCCAAUUCUGACGAAAUAAUGAUAGGAAAGGUAUUACCUGGUCUAAGAAACACAUGUUUCAGUCCUAUAGGAAGUUGUUUCAAUUUUGACCUAGGGCUUUCAAUACUUGAUGGUUUCUGUCCUCCGGUCCUUUCUGGCAAUUUCUCAAACUUGGGUUGCCAUGGUGAAGUCCUUUGGUCCUGGAAUUUUUCAAAAAUAGUACAAAUGUUAGCAUACUCAUCAACAUCAAAACCACAUGAAAUUUUAUAAUUUAGGAGAAAAGAGUUCAAAAGAUCAGAAUCAAUUGUUGUGGAUGCUUCCUUUUGAGUAAAUGCAUCAAUCAUGUAGGUUUAAUGGCAUUCAUCAUCUUCUGUAGGUUGUUUGGUGACAUGGAAAAUAUUGGCAUCUAUAGUCAUAUCUCCAUAUGUCAGUUUCAUCAGACCAUUCCUGCAAUUGAUAAGAGGAUUAGCUGUAGCAAGGAAAGGUCUACCAAGUACAAUAAGGAUUUUAGAAUUAAUAUCUACCUCAACCUUCACAUCUAAUACCAAGAAAUCAAUGGGGUAGUAAAAUUUAUCAACCUAAACUAACACAUCCUCAACUACUCCCCUUGGUUGUAUGGUGGACUGGUCAACUAAUUGUAGAACCACUGAGAUAGGUUUCAUCUCUCCUAGACCUAACAACAAGUAUAUAGCAUAGGAUAUGAGGUUGACACUAGCUCCUAAAUUAAGAAGGACUUGUGCAAACUCACGAUUCCCAAUGACACAAAAAAUGGUAAGACGAUCAGGGUCCUUAUAAUUUGGUUGGAUUUUUUUGUUCUAUCACGGUACUCACUUGCUUGGUCAAGAAGGCAGUUUUUUUGGUAUGAUGCUUCCUUUUUACAAUGCAUAAAUCCUUAAGGACUUUAAUAUAUGUAAGAACUUGAGAGAUCACAUGCAAGAGGGGCAAAUUGAUUUUGACUAGUCUGAGGUGUUCUAGGAUAUCAUUAUACUGACCUGGUGAUUUCGAUGUGGACUUGAGAGCUUGAGGGAAAGGUAUUCUAGCUAGGUUUUCCACUACUUCCUCAUUAGGACUGCUCUCAUUAGACUUACUUGGCUCUUUUUUGUUCUCUCUAGGUGGAAGGGUAGCUUCUACAAUCUUCCCUAAUCUAAUGAUUAUGGUAUUCACCUUUUUAAAAUUGGUCUCUUCAGAUCCCGAGGUUUGUGCCAUGUGCUGCCCUUUGGGUUUAGUUAAGCUUGAGUUGGAAACUUCUCACGUUCUCCUACAGCUAAGGCAUUGGUUAACUUAGACAUAUGAUUCUUUAUCUCUUUGUUUUCCUAGACUACAAACCUAUUAUGGAUGAUUCAAUUCGGAAGGUGAGUCUCGACAAUACAUCUUUUGAUGAUAUCUAGCAUGUUGGUGAGGAUAGGAGAUGACAGAGAAAGAGGACAGUGAAGAAAAGCAAGUUUUUUAUUUAUUAUUAUUAUUAUUUUUUUAACAAGGCUAAGUUAGACAUUUUCUAGUUAGGACACCUUCUCAGUUCGGCUAGAGAACAAAGACCUAUUUAGCUUAUCUCAGUGAAAAAGUUUUCUUACCAUAGCAAUAUAAAUACUUAUGACUUUUCCAAUUUCUUUCCAGAUAAACGAUGAGAUUCAAUCGGCAGUAGAAAAGUUGGUUUCUAGAAUUGGUGAGGACUUAAACAAUGAUCCAGAUUAUAUAGGGAGGGAAAUUAAAGGAAAAUAAAGUACUGACAUUAAAAUUGCUCUAGUCGAUAAUGUAACGAAGGAUCCCGUUGACUUUGGGCCUGAAUCCUCCUGGACAAAUGUGUAGAAUAUUUAUAGGAGAAUUCCUGUCUAGGCCUACCAAAAUCCGAUCAUGAUCGUUUGACUAAUUGAAGUAAUACCAGGCAAUUUUAUCGUUUAAGGACAUGGCAUAUGAAGUGCACAUACUAAAAAAUAUUAAACCUAUUAGAUGGAACUUGGAAGGUUAUAUAUAUAUAUAUAUAUAGCCACAAUUUUAUGGUUACAGACAUAAAUGGGGGAAAGCUUUAGAAUUUGGCACUUACAACAGAAUAAUAAACAAAAUAGGUAAAUAUUUGGAAGCAUACUACAAUAAAAAUGUGAUUAGGGAUGUUUUAGAUCAAAAUUAUGCUCGAAGUAUAGACGCCUUAUCAAGAAGAAAACAGAAAAUGGACAUUUAUAUUCCUCUUCUUACUAGUAAAGAACAACUAGCAGAUUCUUUGACAAAAGAAGUGCAGAGACCUUUAUUCACCUCAAAGAAGAAAUGAUAAUCCUCAUUUUAUUUAUUUGUUUAUUUAUUUUUGCAUAUCUACUUUGGCUUACUAACUCUUUGAAGAGUGUACUCUACAAAUGCAAGACUUGCAAUUCUUUGGAGAUUGCCACUAAUUUUUUGGCUUACUACUAGAUUACUGCAUAAAAAAGGACUUGCAAUUGUUGAGAGCAAUGAGGGUUGGGGUGAGUUGCACAUGACACUAAAGCUUGGUACAAGGGCAUCUUGAAAUAUCAUUAGUUUCAUUUCAAUAUGAAUUAGAUGAAGAGAAGUUGGUUAUGUUUUUCA